GGAGGGGUUGCAGUAAUACUUUCAAUCAUCACAAAGAGUAUUUAAGACUAUACUAAUACAAGAAUUUCGAAUAAGUGCAAUAAUUGUGAAAGGUGCGGCGCGACUAGAAUGUGAAUUACUCAAGUUAAUUUUCAAAGCUCAAGUUACAGGUUUUAAAGGUCGGAGGCGCGUGGAAGGAAUUGAGCAAAAUUGGAGAUGGAUCUUGUGGAUGGAAGAAAUCGUAGGAAGUCGAGAUUUUGGAUGAAAUUGACAUGAAUUUGACGAAGAUGAUGGACUGUGAAGAAGAAGUUUGGAGAUCGGGCUUAGAAUUAAUUGUCUAGAAUUUAUUUAGCCCAAAACUCUUCUUUUUAAUUAUAUUUUGAGGUCUCAUUUUGAUUAAGGGCCGCAGUCCAUUUAUGGAGGUAGUUAGCAGUGCCUUAGGGAUUCUAAUCCCUUAAAUUAGUUAAUUUCUUUUUGAUUUAGCUGCCACCUCUAGACCUAUAUAUAUUAGGAGUUGACUUUGAGUUAGGGACACCUUUGAUUACUUUUAUUUCAAGCAAUUCACGUUUUUUUGAUUUUA
This is a long non-coding RNA of Salvia miltiorrhiza (redroot sage), 559 nucleotides long. RefSeq lists it as uncharacterized. The record is from RefSeq and is a predicted model, not a curated record. The transcript is spliced from 4 exons. NCBI's taxonomy places the organism in Eukaryota, Viridiplantae, Streptophyta, Magnoliopsida, Lamiales, Lamiaceae.